Erinaceus europaeus (western European hedgehog) is the source of this 97-nucleotide small nuclear RNA. NCBI's taxonomy places the organism in Eukaryota, Metazoa, Chordata, Mammalia, Eulipotyphla, Erinaceidae. The record is from Ensembl.
GUGUUAUAUGAAAGGAGAGGCUAGAUGCCCCUUGACAAGUAUGGAAGAUGUUUCAGCCUACAACUCACAUACAGUUAUGGCAAAAUCAAUACUCCAU